Molecule: ribosomal RNA, 441 nt
Filed under: uncultured bacterium
Lineage: Bacteria
Description: partial 16S ribosomal RNA
Rfam family: Bacterial small subunit ribosomal RNA
Source: RNAcentral
CCUACGGGAGGCAGCAGUGGGGAAUAUUGCACAAUGGGGGAAACCCUGAUGCAGCGACGCCGCGUGAGUGAAGAAGUAUUUCGGUAUGUAAAGCUCUAUCAGCAGGGAAGAAGAAAGACGGUACCUGACUAAGAAGCCCCGGCUAACUACGUGCCAGCAGCCGCGGUAAUACGUAGGGGACAAGCGUUAUCCGGAUUUACUGGGUGGAAAGGGAGCGUAGACGGCUGUGCAAGUCUGAAGUGAAAGCCCAGGGCUCAACCCUGGGACUGCUUUGGAAACUGUGGAGCUAGAGUGCUGGAGAGGUAAGUGGAAUUCCUAGUGUAGCGGUGAAAUGCGUAGAUAUUAGGAGGAACACCAGUGGCGAAGGCGGCUUACUGGACAGUAACUGACGUUGAGGCUCGAAAGCGUGGGGAGCAAACAGGAUUAGAUACCCUAGUAGUC